GAUGAACGCUGGCGGCGUGCUUAACACAUGCAAGUCGAACGAAACACCUUAUUUGAUUUUCUUCGGAACUGAAGAUUUGGUGAUUGAGUGGCGGACGGGUGAGUAACGCGUGGGUAACCUGCCCUGUACAGGGGGAUAACAGUCAGAAAUGACUGCUAAUACCGCAUAAGACCACAGCACCGCAUGGUGCAGGGGUAAAAACUCCGGUGGUACAGGAUGGACCCGCGUCUGAUUAGCUGGUUGGUGAGGUAACGGCGCACCAAGGCGACGAUCAGUAGCCGGGUUGUGAGAGUGAACGGCCACAUUGGGACGGAGACACGGCCCAAACUCCUACGGGAUGCAGCAGUGGGGAAUAUUGCACAAUGGGGUAAACCCUGAUGCAGCGACGCCGCGUGAGUGAAGAAGUAUUUCGGUAUGUAAAGCUCUAUCAGCAGGGAAGAAAAUGACGGUACCUGACGAAGAAGCCCCGGCUAACUACGUG
RNAcentral lists this ribosomal RNA (481 nucleotides) under uncultured bacterium. Its description in RNAcentral is "partial 16S ribosomal RNA". It matches the Rfam family "Bacterial small subunit ribosomal RNA", at positions 28 to 507 of the family's 1533-position model. The record is from RNAcentral.